UCCAAAUAUUUUCAAUAGAAG
RNAcentral lists this non-coding RNA (21 nucleotides) under Caenorhabditis elegans. Lineage: Eukaryota; Metazoa; Nematoda; Chromadorea; Rhabditida; Rhabditidae. The record is from RNAcentral.